ACGGGACCCGCACAAGCGGUGGAUGAUGUGGAUUAAUUCGAUGCAACGCGAAAACCUUACCUACCCUUGACAUGCCAGGAACCUUGCUGAGAGGCGAGGGUGCCUUCGGGAGCCUGGACACAGGUGCUGCAUGGCUGUCGUCAGCUCGUGUCGUGAGAUGUUGGGUUAAGUCCCGCAACGAGCGCAACCCUUGUCACUAGUUGCCAUCAUUUAGUUGGGCACUCUAGUGAGACUGCCGGUGACAAACCGGAGGAAGGUGGGGAUGACGUCAAGUCCUCAUGGCCCUUAUGGGUAGGGCUUCACACGUCAUACAAUGGUCGGUACAGAGGGUUGCCAAGCCGCGAGGUGGAGCCAAUCCCUUAAAGCCGAUCGUAGUCCGGAUCGUAGUCUGCAACUCGACUACGUGGAGUCGGAAUCGCUAGUAAUCGUGGAUCAGCAUGUCACGGUGAAUACGUUCCCGGGUCUU
This 466-nucleotide ribosomal RNA is filed under the name uncultured Thauera sp. Its description in RNAcentral is "bacterial SSU rRNA". It matches the Rfam family "Bacterial small subunit ribosomal RNA", at positions 916 to 1381 of the family's 1533-position model. Lineage: Bacteria; Pseudomonadati; Pseudomonadota; Betaproteobacteria; Rhodocyclales; Zoogloeaceae. The record is from RNAcentral.